Molecule: ribosomal RNA, 370 nt
Filed under: Cornigamasus lunaris
Lineage: Eukaryota; Metazoa; Arthropoda; Arachnida; Mesostigmata; Parasitidae
Description: eukaryotic LSU rRNA
Rfam family: Eukaryotic large subunit ribosomal RNA
Source: RNAcentral
UUGAUCGUGGGUCAGUCGGUCCUAAGCUUAUGAUGAAAUAUGUGUUGAAUGUGUAUAAUUAAGUAUUGUCACUAUAAGCGAAAGGGAAUCAGGCUAAUAUUCCUGAACCUACACACCGGGAUGUUGUUCUGCAACUAAUGUGGUAACACAAGCGUGCUCGAAAAUACCAAGUGAUAGGCUGGGAAGAGUUGUCUUUUCUUUUUAAGUCAUUUGUACCCAUGGAAUGGAGUAGAUUUGAGAUAUGGGUAGGGGUGACAUAAAGCUGCUCAUUUUAGAGCAGUUCAGUUGAUUUACUUGGUCCUUGAAAAUUCGAGCAUGGUAUUUAUCUUGGUGGUAGUCCGUACUAGUAUCCGCAGCAGGUCUCCAAGGU